GACGAACGCUGGCGGCGUGCUUAACACAUGCAAGUCGAACGGUAAGGCCCUUCGGGGUACACGAGUGGCGAACGGGUGAGUAACGCGUGAGUAACCUGCCCUUCACUCUGGGAUAACAGUUGGAAACGGCUGCUAGUACCGGAUAUUCAGCUCCUGUCGCAUGGUGGGGGUUGGAAAGUUUUGGUGGUGGAGGAUGGGCUCGCGUCCUAUCAGCUUGUUGGUGGGGUGAUGGCCUACCAAGGCGUCGACGGGUAGCCGGCCUGAGAGGGCGACCGGCCACAUUGGGACUGAGAUACGGCCCAAACUCCUACGGGAGGCAGCAGUGGGGAAUAUUGCACAAUGGGCGGAAGCCUGAUGCAGCAACGCCGCGUGCGGGAUGACGGCCUUCGGGUUGUAAACCGCUUUCAGCAGGGACGAAGCGCAAGUGACGGUACCUGCAGAAGAAGCACCGGCUAACUACGUG
Molecule: ribosomal RNA, 463 nt
Filed under: uncultured bacterium
Lineage: Bacteria
Description: partial 16S ribosomal RNA
Rfam family: Bacterial small subunit ribosomal RNA
Source: RNAcentral